This 531-nucleotide ribosomal RNA is filed under the name Triticum aestivum (bread wheat). Its description in RNAcentral is "partial small subunit ribosomal RNA". Lineage: Eukaryota; Viridiplantae; Streptophyta; Magnoliopsida; Poales; Poaceae. The record is from RNAcentral.
AUGCACAGAGGAAGAGAACAAACUUCAUAUAUCCCUUCUUUACUCAAUCAAGAAACAAGAUCGGACGUGAUUCCAGUUCGUCUCCAUUUUAGUGACACUCUUCCUCAAGCAAGGCAGACAAUAAGUCAUCGAAGGGUUUGUUUGAAUAAUGGACGGGUAACCAUUACUCAUAUGAAAGUUUCCCAUGGUGAUCUAAUAUCUUUUAAAGAAAAUGACGCGAGAACCCGCGGUUUUGAAAUAAGGAGAUCUUUCUAUAUCGACAUAUCAGUUGGAAAAAUCAUAGGCAAAUUCCUAUCGGCCAUAUCAGUUGGAAAAAGAAGAGGCAAAUUCCUACCAGCCAGAAUCUGGAGAAGAACAGAAAAAGAAUGGUUCCGCUUACUCACAAAUCAGAGGGGAUGCCGGUUACUACUCAAAUCCAAGGAAUUGCAAAAGUUGCAUUCUUAUAUGCAAGAAGAAGACUUUGAAAGAACAAAGAAGUUUGGAUCCGCAAAAGUAUGCUUAGGCAGUUCCUUCGCUGAGCACAAAGAAUGA